AACGGCCUACGGGACGCAGCAGUGGGGAAUAUUGGGCAACGGGCGCAAGCCUGACCCAGCAACGCCGCGUGAAGGAAGAAGGCUUUCGGGUUGUAAACUUCUUUUCUCAGGGACGAAGAAAGUGACGGUACCUGAGGAAUAAGCCACGGCUAACUACGUGCCAGCAGCCGCGGUAACACGUAGGUGGCAAGCGUUAUCCGGAUUUAUUGGGUGUAAAGGGCGUGUAGGCGGGAGCGCAAGUCAGAUGUGAAAACUCAGG
This 259-nucleotide ribosomal RNA is filed under the name uncultured bacterium. RNAcentral's name for it is "partial 16S ribosomal RNA". It matches the Rfam family "Bacterial small subunit ribosomal RNA", at positions 333 to 606 of the family's 1533-position model. The record is from RNAcentral.